This 287-nucleotide ribosomal RNA is filed under the name uncultured bacterium. Its description in RNAcentral is "partial 16S ribosomal RNA". It matches the Rfam family "Bacterial small subunit ribosomal RNA", at positions 773 to 1060 of the family's 1533-position model. The record is from RNAcentral.
GUGGAUUAGAUACCCUGGUAGUCCACGCCGUAAACGAUGAUUGCUAGCCGUUGGGCAGCUUGCUGUUCAGUGGCGCAGCUAACGCAUUAAGCAAUCCGCCUGGGGAGUACGGCCGCAAGGUUGAAACUCAAAGGAAUUGACGGGGGCCCGCACAAGCGGUGGAGCAUGUGGUUUAAUUCGACGCAACGCGCAGAACCUUACCAGGGUUUGACAUCCUGCGACCGCCUCGUAAUUGGGGUUUUCCCGCAAGGGACGCAGAGACAGGUGCUGCAUGGUCGUCGCCAGCU